UACGAAGGGGGCUAGCGUUGUUCGGAAUUACUGGGCGUAAAGGGCGCGUAGGCGGCCAUUUAAGUCGGGGGUGAAAGCCUGUGGCUCAACCACAGAAUUGCCUUCGAUACUGGAUGGCUUGAGUUCGGUAGAGGUUGGUGGAACUGCGAGUGUAGAGGUGAAAUUCGUAGAUAUUCGCAAGAACACCGGUGGCGAAGGCGGCCAACUGGACCGACACUGACGCUGAGGCGCGAAAGCGUGGGGAGCAAACAGG
RNAcentral lists this ribosomal RNA (253 nucleotides) under uncultured bacterium. RNAcentral describes it as "partial 16S ribosomal RNA". It matches the Rfam family "Bacterial small subunit ribosomal RNA", at positions 524 to 776 of the family's 1533-position model. The record is from RNAcentral.